This is a non-coding RNA of Acomys russatus (golden spiny mouse), 546 nucleotides long. NCBI's taxonomy places the organism in Eukaryota, Metazoa, Chordata, Mammalia, Rodentia, Muridae. The record is from the annotation of a RefSeq genome assembly.
AUGGGGAAAAGUGUCUCAGAGUUUGCGGCUGGACACAUUAAGGAACAUGAAUGUGGUGACUGGAUUCCCAGUGGGAUUGAAGAGCUCUAUGUGUCUGAUUGUGUCUCUGAGCACACAGUUUCUCACCUUGGUCUGAAGUUGGACCAUCUAUACCUGGUGGCAGCAGCUACAGGUGUCCGCUCCCAGGUCCAGCUGCAGCAGUCUGGAGCUGAGCUUGGGAGACCUGGGUCCUCAGUGAAGUUGUCUUGCAAGGCUUCUGGCUAUACCUUCACUGACUACUAUAUGCAGUGGGUGAAGCAGAAGCCAGGACAGCAGCUGGAGUGGAUUGGAGGUAUUUAUCCUGGAAAUGGUAAUACUUACUACAAUCAGAAGUUACAGGGCAAGGCCACACUCACUGCAGACAAAUCCUCCAGCACAGCCUACAUGGAGCUCAGCAGCCUGACAUCUGAGGACACCGCGGUCUAUUACUGUGCGAGAGACAGUGUUGCAACCACAUCCCGAGUGUGUCAGAAACCCUGGAGGAGCAAGAAGCUGCCCUGGGACUGA